This is a long non-coding RNA of Ostrea edulis (European flat oyster), 273 nucleotides long. RefSeq lists it as uncharacterized. The transcript has 2 exons. NCBI's taxonomy places the organism in Eukaryota, Metazoa, Mollusca, Bivalvia, Ostreida, Ostreidae. The record is from RefSeq and is a predicted model, not a curated record.
GACCUGAGUUUAGGAUUUCACUCUCUUCGGACCGUGUUCCACGCAAUACAGUAGCACGAGUUCCUGCAAAUUCUGUUUUGGUCAAACUCCUAAGUUAAACUUAGAAAUUCGUACAGACACGACUUCUGAGGUCCCGGUGUAAUGACUCAUGGCACUUGGUGUUCAACGUAAACCAGACCAAAUGUGAACAUGCAUUGCUAGUAACGAAUACCUGAACCAGCAGUGGAUAAUGACUAUGUAGAAUGUCUGCAAUAUAAAGUGCAACGUUUGAAA